GACGAACGCUGGCGGCGUGCCUAAUACAUGCGAGUUGAGCGAUGAAGAUUGGUGCUUGCACCAAUUUGAAGAGCAGCGAACGGGUGAGUAACGCGUGGGGAAUCUGCCUUUGAGCGGGGGACAACAUUUGGAAACGAAUGCUAAUACCGCAUAACAACUUUAAACAUAAGUUUUAAGUUUGAAAGAUGCAAUUGCAUCACUCAAAGAUGAUCCCGCGUUGUAUUAGCUAGUUGGUGAGGUAAAGGCUCACCAAGGCGAUGAUACAUAGCCGACCUGAGAGGGUGAUCGGCCACAUUGGGACUGAGACACGGCCCAAACUCCUACGGGAGGCAGCAGUAGGGAAUCUUCGGCAAUGGACGAAAGUCUGACCGAGCAACGCCGCGUGGGUGAAGAAGGUUUUCGGAUCGUAAAACUCUGUUGGUAGAGAAGAACGUUGGUGAGAGUGGAAAGCUCAUCAAGUGACGGUAACUACCCAGAAAGGGACGGCUAACUACGUG
RNAcentral lists this ribosomal RNA (497 nucleotides) under uncultured bacterium. Its description in RNAcentral is "partial 16S ribosomal RNA". It matches the Rfam family "Bacterial small subunit ribosomal RNA", at positions 28 to 507 of the family's 1533-position model. The record is from RNAcentral.